Molecule: long non-coding RNA, 620 nt
Organism: Hevea brasiliensis (rubber tree)
Lineage: Eukaryota; Viridiplantae; Streptophyta; Magnoliopsida; Malpighiales; Euphorbiaceae
Exons: 2
Source: RefSeq, a predicted model, not a curated record
UGUCUAGUUAAGCUUGCUUAUUAAUAAUCACUCACUCCCUGCAAGUCUAGCAUGAUGUCAAGUCUGAAUUUUAACUACAGGAGAAGCUGGUAGAUUUCAAAUGCUUAAACCUCAUUUUACAUGGAUGGAAGUUGCUCUUGAUUCGAGGGUUGCAGCUCCCCUUAAACCUGGCAACGCAUAAAGCAUAUAUGAUUCAGACGUUUGGAUUUUCUUCUUUCUUCUUUCACGGUAGAAGAAUAUCAGUGCAACAUAUGAUUCAUAAACAUUACCUGUUGCAGCAGCAGCAGUAAGAGUAAUAAUGUCAGCAGGGGUUUGAAUGGUCAGGCCAGAGUUGACAGCAGAGGCAACAUCUGCUCUAUGUGCACCUACUGAUUCUGCAGCUUCGGCACAAGCACUGGCUAGCAAUGCAGAGGCACAGGCAACCCCAUUACUUAUUUUCACAGUUUCAUUGUCCAUAUUCUUUUCUAUUUCCAUGCUGUUGGUGGCUGCAAAGCCAGCAAUUGCUGCAGCCAGCCGUGCCACAGAAAGUGCAGCAUGUAUUUUGGCAGUGAGGAGUCGAACUUCUUCCUUCUUCUUCUCUCUUUUCCACCUCAAUAUACCAGUCAAUGAAUUUUCUCUUA